UGCUCGCCAUGACAACGUGUUUGCGGCGGAGGUCCUGCUGCAGCGUGGGCUGGACCCCGACCUCCAGGACCGCGACCUCUGGACCGCCCUGCACACCGCGUGUGGGUGUGACCACGCAGAGGUGGUGCUGCUGCUGCUGCUGACGGGGGCCAACGUCCUGCUACAGGACGUGGACGGAAGCGUCGCCCUGGACCUCGCCCCUGAAGGGUCCGAGAGCCGCCACCCUCGUCAGCCAGCACCUGGAGGACACCGGGGUGGACCUGCUCUCCAUCCACACCUUGAGGUCCCAGAGGGCUGCCAGCAUGCUGUCUGAUGUCAGGCAGCUGGUGGGCAGUGGGGGGGGGGCCGGAGGGGGGGGGCUGGACCACGCCAACCAGGACGGGGUCACCCUGCUCCACAUAGCGGUUGCCAGCGGCUACAGGGAGGUGGUGCGCCGUGCAUGCUGGAAGGCGGGCGUGACCCCAUCCCCAUGACAACCACUUCUGGACCCCUCUCCACCUGGCCGCCAAUAUGGGCAGGUAACCACCUCCGACCCCCCUCACCCCUCACCCUCUCACCCUCUCACACCCUCACCUCUUCACCCCCCUCCUCCCCCUCUCUCACCCCUCACUCGGGUUCACUCUGGUUCCCUAGCAACACAUCUGCAUGCAGCAGCGCACUC
This is a long non-coding RNA of Gadus macrocephalus (Pacific cod), 661 nucleotides long. RefSeq lists it as uncharacterized. Lineage: Eukaryota; Metazoa; Chordata; Actinopteri; Gadiformes; Gadidae. The record is from RefSeq and is a predicted model, not a curated record. The transcript has 4 exons.